Long non-coding RNA from Dromaius novaehollandiae (emu), 2972 nucleotides. RefSeq lists it as uncharacterized. The transcript has 5 exons. The record is from RefSeq and is a predicted model, not a curated record. NCBI's taxonomy places the organism in Eukaryota, Metazoa, Chordata, Aves, Casuariiformes, Dromaiidae.
GAAAAGCUCCUCCUGUCCCUGGAGAACAUGGGCAAUCACCUCCUCGCCAGGAGCUAGCGUCACACUUCCCACGCCCCUGCGAGCUUCAGGGGUGGGCUCUGGCGUGCGGAGCAGGGGCAGCUGUCCUACAGGGCCGAGCGCCAGACAUCCCUUCCCAGAAGAGGAGUGAGAACAACAUAGUCUCUAAUGAGUAGCUCUGCUCUAAUCAGAAGAGGUAACCUGGAAUGAGUUGUGUGUACAUGACAGAAGAGUCCUGCUGAGAGACACUAAGGAAUGGAACCAUCUGAAACAGAGAAUGGGAGAGGGAGGAGCAUUUGGUCUGUGCACUGCAGUGAGAGACUUACCAGAAGCUGCUUCUUCUGCCUGAAUCGCACCGUGUGAUUGUAAACAUUGAUGAGAAUCUCUUUGAGAUUGUGUGCCUUGUACUGAAACUUUCUGCUUUGAAAACUGAGGCCUUUUUGUGCUCAGUAAUGUACCAUCAAUAGCACUGGCAGACCUGCCUGCCUUCCCCUGUGAAAAAGACUGGAAGCACCACAGAAGAAAGACUGGGCACCCAUACCCUUUUUCCUUCUGUAGUCUUCAUGAAACACCAAAUGAAGAUCCGCUUGCACAUACCUGUUGGAUUACACUUGUAUUUUCCAUUUUUGAUCACACAGGUUUCUCGAGAGUCACAGUCAUAGUUCUGACAUCCGAUGACACCAUUCUUCUGACACUGGCAUCUUUUGGCACAGUGUGGAGUUAUCCAGGUCUCCCCAGCCUGGACACAAGUUGUGUUAAUAAUAUGUUACCAAGGUGCUCAGCUUUACAAUGCAAUAGGAGACCAAGAGUGAAGGGUAUGGAGGCUGGCUAGGUGCAACCUGUCCUGCUGGCUGCUCCACAACUGCCUUAUCCAGGCAUAGUCUCACCAAAAGCCUGGGAGGCGGGGAAUCUCAGUCCAUUUGUCUUAUUGACUAUCUUGAGAAUAGAGAGACUACCUGAAUAACUCUGAUCAAAGUACUGGUCUCCAUCAUGCCUCGAUUUUGGCAUCGUAUGCAAAGCACGAAGCUUUUGCAGCUGCUAAUAACUGAGCCUGCAGCUUUUUCUAACCAAAUGAAAGAUAUCUAAAGAUUUUUCUCUCUCUCAUUUAGACGGUCAGGAAAGCCCCCCACAGGUUUUGCAGCCAGAGAUUUGUUCCACAGACAAACUACUUACGCUGUAGUAAUUGUUGUCAUCAUCCCUGCAGCCACAAUCGCUCAGAGGUACACACUUGCCACUACUGAGCACAUAAUUAUCAUCACACUCACAGCCCUCUGUGCACCCUUCUGUCUUCUCACAAAGGGAAGAGGCAAAAAUGUCGUUGCAAGUUGAUGGGCAGGGGGAAGCGCAGUCUGUGUAAUGGCUGUGAGAUGAACAGGGCAAUGCUAUGUGGGUGAAGAAAAUAAAAAGAGUGUUGUUUAAUACAUUUAGAAACUGCAACUGCAAACACCUAUGACUGCCUGAAAGCUAGGACUUGGGCUGCAAAAUGUCAGUAUACGAUUGCCUUUUAAUAGCUGAUUUUGAUCAUCCAGUUUUGAUCUUCGACUUUUUAAAAAAAUACAGAGAACCUUUCUGGAGCUGCUGAUUCAGUUCUAUUACAGGUGUGUCUGAGCUGGUGGCACCUGGAGCUAGAUCAUUCAGAGCCUCUAUUCCAGAUCAGCUGCAAAUGCUUCUUUUGGCACUGUUAAAAAUGCGAAUCAUUAGGGAAAAUUCCUUAGAAUGCUCAACUCUCCAGUGAUAUAAGACAGGUGUUAGUUAAGUUAGGUUAGUUUAACCACAGACAUAAACAUAUACAAGACCAACAGGUAUGCAUCGUCAAACUAAAAGUUCAUCUGGCUCUAUAUCCUAUUUCUGCCAAUGACUAGAGAUGCAUAAGGAGAGAAUUCAAGAAACACAUCAGCAAAAAGUGUUCCUUUGCCCAGCAUUCUCCCCCACUUCUGGCAAGCAGGCCUUUGGAAUUUCCGAUGGACCUAUUCAAUAUUCAUCUGGCUUGCUUUUUAAGCAGUUAACUGUUUUGGCCUCCAAAACAUUGCGUGACAAUUAAUUCCACAAUGUAAUACUGAACUGUGAAAAAACAAAUACCAUGUAAUCUUUAUACAACUAGUCUGUGGCUUUGUUGAAUGGGUGGAAUGAGACCUGUACACUGGAGAUUAAUCAGAGAACCCAGCCCUUAGUAAGCAACUGGCCAAAUUGCCAGUCUUCAUUCAGAUCACAGUGAGCAGUGUUGAGCCUUGUGUCCUAAUAUAGUAUCCCAAUUUCUUCUAGCCUUCUUGUUAUACUAUUUCUCAAUUUUAGACUCAUUGCAAUAUCUCACAAUAUCCAUUUGGCUACUAAAACUAUUCUAACUCCACAUUACUACACACAGCUUGUCUAGUCCUGAGUUAUCACUGGAUUUAGCUCAACAUGAACAUAGCUCAGUGCAGCGAUGAAGUCAUAAAAUCACAGAUAAUAGCAUUGCAUUUUGUGAGGAUUUGGGUUUAAUUAUCUUUUACAAAACUUGUCCAGCUAAUACUGCUAAUUCAUUUUCAUGCCAUCAGCCAUCCAAGGUUCUGUUUUUUCACUCUCCUGUGCACUUACGACAGAAUGUGCUGUUCCUCCAUUUAAUGGUGAUGCCUUCGUUCCUGCAGGUGUCCACAUAGACUUGAACUAUGUCACAGAGAGUGGACUUCAUGCCAUCGUACUGGCACAUGUCAUAGGUGCAGAUCUGUAUGAAGGGUUCAGGCUUGACCAGAUUGUGACAUGGUUUGAAUUUGUCUGAAUUUAAAACAUUGCACUGGCUUUCAAUGACUGGUUUAUUCUCAGCAGUGCAAGGAGGAAGAUCAUCUUCUCUUGAGUCUGAAAAACAGCUGCAUGAAAGCAUAAACAGUUAAAUUUGAGUUUCAAAGACAUAUGUAAAACUGAGAUGAAAGUGGUAAGUCUGUUGCUGAGAAGUAUUAAAUAAAUAGCUCUGGAGACUA